AUGAAUAUUAAAUGGCCGCAGUACCCUGACUGUGCUAAGGUAGCAUAAUCAAUUGGCCUUUAAUUGAGGUCUGGAAUGAAUGGAUAUACGGAAGCAAGCUGUCUCUCUUGGAGUUUAUGAAAUUAUUUUUAGGGUGCAAAUUCCCUUAGUAAGAAAAUAGACGAGAAGACCCUAAGAGUUUUGAUUAUAGGUAAAGCUUUUACUUUUUUUUUGCUGGGGCGGCAAAGAAACAUUUAACUUUCUUGCUAUAAUUAAUAAUCGACGCGAUUUAUGAAGAACUAAAAAACUACCUUAGGGAUAACAGCAUAAUAUUUCAAUGUUUGUGACCUCGAUGUUGGACUAGGAAAGCUUUUGGCUAGCCGCCAAGAGUAUAUGUUCUGUUCGAACAAU
This 390-nucleotide ribosomal RNA is filed under the name Wallaconchis gracilis. RNAcentral describes it as "Wallaconchis gracile partial 16S ribosomal RNA". It matches the Rfam family "Archaeal large subunit ribosomal RNA", at positions 1993 to 2658 of the family's 2987-position model. Lineage: Eukaryota; Metazoa; Mollusca; Gastropoda; Systellommatophora; Onchidiidae. The record is from RNAcentral.